CAGCAGCCGCGGGAAUAUAGAGGGUGCGAGCGUUAAUCGGAUUUACUGGGCGUAAAGCGUGCGUAGGCGGCUUCUUAAGUCGGAUGUGAAAUCCCUGAGCUUAACUUAGGAAUUGCAUUCGAUACUGGGAAGCUAGAGUAUGGGAGAGGAUGGUAGAAUUCCAGGUGUAGCGGUGAAAUGCGUAGAGAUCUGGAGGAAUACCGAUGGCGAAGGCAGCCAUCUGGCCUAAUACUGACGCUGAGGUACGAAAGCAUGGGGAGCAAACAGGAUUAGAUACCCGUGUAGUCCCUGUCUCUUAUAC
Molecule: ribosomal RNA, 301 nt
Filed under: uncultured bacterium
Lineage: Bacteria
Description: partial 16S ribosomal RNA
Rfam family: Bacterial small subunit ribosomal RNA
Source: RNAcentral